Molecule: long non-coding RNA, 561 nt
Filed under: Durio zibethinus
Lineage: Eukaryota; Viridiplantae; Streptophyta; Magnoliopsida; Malvales; Malvaceae
Description: long non-coding RNA (DZIB_LNC001743)
Source: RNAcentral
UCCCUACUAGGGCUCUUAUAGCACAAACAAAGUACACUAAUUAGUAACUUAUCUCAAUCAACUCAACUUAUGUCCCUUGGGACAAUUCUUAGUUAGACACACACGGCCAAACUCAACACCCUUUUAAGGUUAGCCCCAUUUCACAUUUAGAUCUCAUGAAUUGACCUCAUACUGUAUAGCCUCUAACACCCACACAAGUCAAUACCAUUUAAUAGGUAAGGUUAGACUUCUAUGCCUUUCGCUUAGCAUCUAAGAUCCUCGAAGGCUUUGUUUGUAACUAGGCCAAUUUCCCUCAUAUAACACUGAAUUUGAUGGCUUUUUCCUGAGCCAACAUUGUCUUGAUAUCGUAAUUUCACAACUAUUGUCUUUUUUAAGCUAACACCAUUUAAAAUCUCGCAUCCACACAGUCACAGACCGCGUUUCCAUUCUAGCAUAAAAAAUGAGCCUAAUUAGAUUCUGAUACCACUACUAUCACAGACUGUGUUUUUCUUAUGCUGAAACAAUGCAACCACACGGCACCAAGACUACUUUUAGUCAAGGUCAGCCUUUCACAAGUUUUUU